Molecule: transfer RNA, 71 nt
Filed under: Gormaniella terricola
Lineage: Eukaryota; Viridiplantae; Chlorophyta; Chlorophyceae; Chaetopeltidales; Chaetopeltidaceae
Description: tRNA-Cys
Rfam family: tRNA
About the family: Transfer RNA (tRNA) molecules are approximately 80 nucleotides in length.
Source: RNAcentral
GGUUGUGUCGUAUAACGGUAUUACUUUGGAUUGCAAAUCCUACAAAGGCGGUUCGAUUCCGCCCGCAACCU